This 497-nucleotide ribosomal RNA is filed under the name uncultured bacterium. RNAcentral describes it as "partial 16S ribosomal RNA". It matches the Rfam family "Bacterial small subunit ribosomal RNA", at positions 28 to 507 of the family's 1533-position model. The record is from RNAcentral.
GAUGAACGCUGGCGGCGUGCCUAAUACAUGCAAGUCGAGCGAACGGACGAGAAGCUUGCUUCUCUGAUGUUAGCGGCGGACGGGUGAGUAACACGUGGAUAACCUACCUAUAAGACUGGGAUAACUUCGGGAAACCGGAUCUAAUACCGGAUAAUAUUUUGAACCGCAUGGUUCAAAAGUGAAAGACGGUCUUGCUGUCACUUAUAGAUGGAUCCGCGCUGCAUUAGCUAGUUGGUAAGGUAACGGCUUACCAAGGCAACGAUGCAUAGCCGACCUGAGAGGGUGAUCGGCCACACUGGAACUGAGACACGGUCCAGACUCCUACGGGAGGCAGCAGUAGGGAAUCUUCGGCAAUGGGCGAAAGCCUGACGGAGCAAUGCCGCGUGAGUGAUGAAGGUCUUCGGAUCGUAAAACUCUGUUAUUAGGGAAGAACAUAUGUGUAAGUAAAUGUGCACAUCUUGACGGUACCUAAUCAGAAAGCCACGGCUAACUACGUG